This 467-nucleotide ribosomal RNA is filed under the name uncultured bacterium. RNAcentral describes it as "partial 16S ribosomal RNA". It matches the Rfam family "Bacterial small subunit ribosomal RNA", at positions 28 to 507 of the family's 1533-position model. The record is from RNAcentral.
GACGAACGCUGGCGGCGUGCUUAACACAUGCAAGUCGAACGGAAAGGCUCCACCUUUCUGUUGUACUCGAUUGGCGAACGCGUGAGUUACACGUGGUUAAUCUGCCCUGCACUCUGGGAUAAGCCUUGGAAACUAGGUCUAAUACUGGACAUGACUUUUCUCCUUAUUGUGUUUGGUUGAAUGUUUUUCGGUGUCGGAUGAGCCGUCGGCCUAUCAGCUUGUUGGUGGGGUGAUGGCCUACCAAGGCGACGACGGGUUGCCGGCCUGAGAGGGUGGUCGGCCACAUUGGGACUGAGAUACGGCCCAGACUCCUACGGGAGGCAGCAGUGGGGAAUAUUGCACAAUGGGCGGAAGCCUGAUGCAGCGACGCCGCGUGAGGGAUGACGGCCUUCGGGUUGUAAACCUCUUUCAGCAGGGACGAAGCGUAAGUGACGGUACCUGCAGAAGAAGCACCGGCUAACUACGUG